This 90-nucleotide ribosomal RNA is filed under the name Hemistylus macrostachya. RNAcentral's name for it is "partial 28S ribosomal RNA". The record is from RNAcentral. Lineage: Eukaryota; Viridiplantae; Streptophyta; Magnoliopsida; Rosales; Urticaceae.
CACCGGCGUACACGUCGGAGCGCCCUCGACGAGACCCCAGGUCAGGCGGGGCUACCCGCUGAGUUUAAGCAUAUCAAAUAAGCGGAGGGA